CUUCCUGAUGAUCAUUUCUUUUAUCAAUAUACGCUGGAAAUUACCGGCUGAGAUUUUUCAUUGACGAUAUAAAAUGGCUAUUUCUGAUU
RNAcentral lists this small nucleolar RNA (89 nucleotides) under Pochonia chlamydosporia 170. Its description in RNAcentral is "A. fumigatus snoRNA Afu_300". It matches the Rfam family "A. fumigatus snoRNA Afu_300". Lineage: Eukaryota; Fungi; Ascomycota; Sordariomycetes; Hypocreales; Clavicipitaceae. The record is from Rfam by way of RNAcentral.